GAUGAACGCUGGCGGCGUGCCUAAUACAUGCAAGUCGAGCGAACAGACGAGGAGCUUGCUCCUCUGACGUUAGCGGCGGACGGGUGAGUAACACGUGGAUAACCUACCUAUAAGACUGGGAUAACUUCGGGAAACCGGAGCUAAUACCGGAUAAUAUAUUGAACCGCAUGGUUCAAUAGUGAAAGACGGUUUUGCUGUCACUUUUAGACGGUUCCGCGCCGCAUUAGCUAGUUGGUAAGGUAACGGCUUACCAAGGCAACGAUGCGUAGCCGACCUGAGAGGGUGAUCGGCCACACUGGAACUGAGACACGGUCCAGACUCCUACGGGAGGCAGCAGUAGGGAAUCUUCCGCAAUGGGCGAAAGCCUGACGGAGCAACGCCGCGUGAGUGAUGAAGGUCUUCGGAUCGUAAAACUCUGUUAUUAGGGAAGAACAAAUGUGUAAGUAACUAUGCACGUCUUGACGGUACCUAAUCAGAAAGCCACGGCUAACUACGUG
Molecule: ribosomal RNA, 497 nt
Filed under: uncultured bacterium
Lineage: Bacteria
Description: partial 16S ribosomal RNA
Rfam family: Bacterial small subunit ribosomal RNA
Source: RNAcentral